GAUUUAUAAAGAAGAGGCGAGAGAACAGGCUCUGCAACCCUCUGGCAACCCCAAAAUAUUGUUUUGGAAGGUGCCAAAACCUGACCCUUAAUGGGGAUUAUAAAUU
Molecule: non-coding RNA, 106 nt
Filed under: Bacteroidota bacterium
Lineage: Bacteria; Pseudomonadati; Bacteroidota
Description: Bacteroidetes bacterium SAM-I sequence
Rfam family: SAM riboswitch aptamer (S box leader)
About the family: The SAM riboswitch is found upstream of a number of genes which code for proteins involved in methionine or cysteine biosynthesis in Gram-positive bacteria. The SAM riboswitch acts at the level of transcription termination control.
Source: RNAcentral